RNAcentral lists this ribosomal RNA (408 nucleotides) under uncultured bacterium. RNAcentral describes it as "partial 16S ribosomal RNA". It matches the Rfam family "Bacterial small subunit ribosomal RNA", at positions 28 to 526 of the family's 1533-position model. The record is from RNAcentral.
GACGAACGCUGGCGGCGUGCUUAACACAUGCAAGUCGAAGAUAGUGGCGAACGGGGGAGUAAUACGUGGGUAACCUGCCCUCCUUUUUGGGAUAAGCCUUGGAAACGGGGUCUAAUACCGACUAAAGGGGGAUGGGCUAGCGGCCUAUCAGCUUGUUGGUGGGGUGCUGGCCUACCAAGGCGGUGACGGGUAGCCGGCCUGAGAGGGUGCACGGCGACGUUGGGACGGUGAUACGGCCCAGAGUCCGAAGGGAGGCAGAAGAGGGGGAUAUUGCACAAUGGGCGAAAGCCGGAUGCAGCGACGCCGAGGGGGGGAUGAGGGUUUUCGGGUUGUAAACCUCUUUCGCUAGCUAACUGGUAGGUGGAGAAGAAGCGCCGGCUAACUACGUGCCAGCAGCCGCGGUAAUUC